UGAGCUGCUUUCUUCAAGGCAGAUGUGAGUGCGUGCCACAUGGCGGCCAUAACUCCGAGUAUUGCUGCGGCAGGAUGCCUCUCUGGUUGCUGGGGGAGGCUUGCAGGUGAGCAGGACCCAGCGCUUGCUGCAACGACAUGCAUCCUGCUGUCCCUUCUUUGCUGGCUGCCCGCCUGGCGGCUAGAUUUCAAGGAAGUCCGAGGUAAGGAUAGAUCCAACGAGCGCCCUUUUCCUCCUGCUAUCCUGCUUGGGCAUCCUGGAGCACAUAGAUCCACUGUAGAACCCUUCGAUCGCUAAAAUAAAAAGUUAGAUUAGUACUAGCGCCCCUUACGUACCUGAUACUAUGAAGCGAUAUGUAGGUUGCGUUAUGCAUCUGCAAAUUAUGGGCAUCUGUCCUUGGCUUGCAGCUCGCAAGCUCUCCAUCGCCAAGAAACUGUUUGGUGUACCAAUUUGAGAAAACAGCGGUGUACGAGAGCCUGCAAGGCCUGUCUACUACCACAAAGUUCAAUCAGUUGGAAAGCAAAUACGCAGGGCAGUCAAAGU
Molecule: long non-coding RNA, 543 nt
Filed under: Coccomyxa subellipsoidea
Lineage: Eukaryota; Viridiplantae; Chlorophyta; Trebouxiophyceae; Coccomyxaceae
Description: long non-coding RNA (CSUB_LNC000542)
Source: RNAcentral